Neogale vison (American mink) is the source of this 880-nucleotide long non-coding RNA. RefSeq lists it as uncharacterized. The transcript is spliced from 3 exons. The record is from RefSeq and is a predicted model, not a curated record. Lineage: Eukaryota; Metazoa; Chordata; Mammalia; Carnivora; Mustelidae.
CCCAGGGAGUGAGUCUCCUUAAAGUCCCAAGGUCGGUGUCCAACAUGUGAAUUUUGAUAAGUUUCUGAAUGCCCCAGCCUCAUUUUGUCAUCCAUUCAAUCCAGCCUUCUGGAUACCAACCUGGCUACUCAGUAGCCCUGAAAACAGAUCCCUGGACCGAAGAUCACGGAGCACAACCACUUUUCUGCAUUAACACUGUUGGAAUGUGACUACUUUGUGUGUUAUUAACUUGCACAUGUAACAUAUACAUUGAAAUCUUUAAAAAUACUACUGCUAUUCACAAGGAUGAGGAUCAGACAUCCUUCAGUGCUGAAGAGAUCGAGGACAGGGGGAUAAUACCCAGCUACAGAAAUUCUGCAUGUAAAAUAGAUGCCACAUCACCAAAAUGAGGCAGGUCCCAAUUUAUGUUUUAGGUCCUCUGGACAGAGCUGAAUCAAAAUCCUGGCUGAUGCAUUAUGGAAUAAAAAGUGUUUUCAACAUGUAAAUCCAAAUUGAGGGACAUUCUGCAAAAUAUCUGAUCUAUAUUCCUCAAUGCUGUCAAGGUCAUCAGAAACAAGGAAAGACUGUGAUACUGUCACAGACCAGUGGAGACUAAAGAGACAUGGCAACCUAAUACAAUCCCAGAAUGGGUCUUAGAACAGAAAGAAAAGGGGGGGGGCAUUCAUAGAAAAAUUGGUGAAAUACAAAUAAAAAAGCUAGAGUUUCAUUAAAAAUGACAGACUAGUGUUGGUUUCUUAGCUUCGAUGACACAUCGUGAUACUUUCAGCUGUUAAUGAUAGUGGACACUAGGUGAGGGGCAUAGAGGUACUCUCUGUACAAUCUUUACAAUUGUUCUAAAAAUUUAAGAUUAUUUCAAAAUUAAAGGUUUGUUUGAACAAAA